RNAcentral lists this ribosomal RNA (424 nucleotides) under uncultured prokaryote. RNAcentral describes it as "bacterial SSU rRNA". It matches the Rfam family "Bacterial small subunit ribosomal RNA", at positions 355 to 796 of the family's 1533-position model. The record is from RNAcentral.
UGGGGAAUCUUGGACAAUGGGCGCAAGCCUGAUCCAGCCAUGCCGCGUGGGUGAAGAAGGCCUUAGGGUUGUAAAGCCCUUUCAGUCGUGACGAUGAUGACGGUAGCGACAGAAGAAGCCCCGGCUAACUCCGUGCCAGCAGCCGCGGUAAUACGGAGGGGGCAAGCGUUGUUCGGAAUUACUGGGCGUAAAGCGCGCGUAGGCGGCCUAUCAAGUCAGGGGUGAAAUCCCGGGGCUCAACCCCGGAACUGCCCUUGAAACUGGUAAGCUAGAAUCCUGGAGAGGCGAGUGGAAUUCCGAGUGUAGAGGUGAAAUUCGUAGAUAUUCGGAAGAACACCAGUGGCGAAGGCGACUCGCUGGACAGGUAUUGACGCUGAGGUGCGAAAGCGUGGGGAGCAAACAGGAUUAGAUACCCCCGUAGUCC